UGGGGUCUUGGCUCAGUGGUAGAGCACUUGCCUAGCAUGUGCGAGGGCCUGAGUUUGAUCCUCAGCACCACAU
RNAcentral lists this transfer RNA (73 nucleotides) under Marmota monax (woodchuck). Its description in RNAcentral is "tRNA.Ala". Lineage: Eukaryota; Metazoa; Chordata; Mammalia; Rodentia; Sciuridae. The record is from RNAcentral.